RNAcentral lists this ribosomal RNA (378 nucleotides) under uncultured bacterium. RNAcentral's name for it is "bacterial SSU rRNA". It matches the Rfam family "Bacterial small subunit ribosomal RNA", at positions 524 to 898 of the family's 1533-position model. The record is from RNAcentral.
UACGUAGGGACCGAGCGUUGUCCGGAUUUAUUGGGCGUAAAGAGCUCGUAGGCGGCCGUCCACGUCGGGUGUGAAAGCUCGGGGCUCAACCCUGAGAGGCCAUUCGAUACGGGACGGCUUGAGGCAGCUAGGGGAGAUUGGAAUUCCUGGUGUAGCGGUGAAAUGCGCAGAUAUCAGGAGGAACACCGGUGGCGAAGGCGGAUCUCUGGGGCUGUUCUGACGCUGAGGAGCGAAAGCUGGGGGAGCGAACAGGAUUAGAUACCCUGGUAGUCCCAGCCGUAAACGUUGGGUGCUAGGUGUGGGGUGGUCUUCAACCCAUUCCGUGCCGCAGCUAACGCAUUAAGCACCCCGCCUGGGGAGUACGGCCGCAAGGCUAAA